This 246-nucleotide ribosomal RNA is filed under the name Rhizophagus intraradices. RNAcentral's name for it is "partial 25S large subunit ribosomal RNA". It matches the Rfam family "Eukaryotic large subunit ribosomal RNA", at positions 39 to 281 of the family's 3401-position model. The record is from RNAcentral. Lineage: Eukaryota; Fungi; Glomeromycota; Glomeromycetes; Glomerales; Glomeraceae.
CAUAUCAAUAAGCGGAGGAAAAGAAAAUAACAAUGAUUCCCCUAGUAACUGCGAGUGAAGAGGGACAAGCUCAAAUUUUAAAUCCAUCGGGUUUUACCCGAUCGAGUUGUAAUUUGAAGAGGCGUUUUCUGUGUAUUUGGUCAGCCUAAGUCCUAUUGAAUGAGGCAUCAUGGAGGGUGAUAAUCCCGUCCGGUUGAUCAUUUGCGUUUUACGAUACGCUUUCUAAGAGUCAAGUUGUUUGGGAUU